GGUUCUUUGUGUCUGUUUUACUCGGCACCCUGUGGUGCUUAUCCAAGCUCUUUAAGAGAGAUUUGUGCUUGGAUCUGAUCCUUGUGAUACAUUAAGAAAGGCACCCCUGCUGAGUGACUGAGAGACCGGAUUCAGUAGCCAAAGUGCUUGGGUUCAGAUAUUCCUGUACCACUGUUAUCCUGCUAUCCUGGUUUGUUAGUCAAAAAGAAUAAAAUUGAAAUGUUAAGUUUUUUGAUGGCACAAUAUUAAUUAUCCAUCUUCAUUUUCAUUUGCACUCAGCUAUGAAAAAUUGAAGGUAAGUUGUACAAUAUUUUCUUUAGUCCCUUGUUAGUACAGACCCUGUUACCUCAACACACUAUCAAAUAUUUUGUGGAGAAAUAAAUGAAUACAUAAGGGUGUGGG
RNAcentral lists this long non-coding RNA (402 nucleotides) under Felis catus (domestic cat). RNAcentral describes it as "lncRNA (ENSFCAG00000041310.1)". The record is from RNAcentral. Lineage: Eukaryota; Metazoa; Chordata; Mammalia; Carnivora; Felidae.